Molecule: ribosomal RNA, 491 nt
Filed under: uncultured bacterium
Lineage: Bacteria
Description: partial 16S ribosomal RNA
Rfam family: Bacterial small subunit ribosomal RNA
Source: RNAcentral
AGUGAACGCUGGCGGUAGGCCUAACACAUGCAAGUCGAACGGCAGCACAGUAAGAGCUUGCUCUUACGGGUGGCGAGUGGCGGACGGGUGAGGAAUACAUCGGAAUCUACUUUUUCGUGGGGGAUAACGUAGGGAAACUUACGCUAAUACCGCAUACGACCUACGGGUGAAAGCAGGGGAUCUUCGGACCUUGCGCGAUUGAAUGAGCCGAUGUCGGAUUAGCUAGUUGGCGGGGUAAAGGCCCACCAAGGCGACGAUCCGUAGCUGGUCUGAGAGGAUGAUCAGCCACACUGGAACUGAGACACGGUCCAGACUCCUACGGGAGGCAGCAGUGGGGAAUAUUGGACAAUGGGCGCAAGCCUGAUCCAGCCAUACCGCGUGGGUGAAGAAGGCCUUCGGGUUGUAAAGACCUUUUGUUGGGAAAGAAAAGCAGCAGGUUAAUACCCCGCUGUUCUGACGGUACCCAAAGAAUAAGCACCGGCUAACUUCGU